UACGUAGGGUGCAAGCGUUAAUCGGAAUUACUGGGCGUAAAGCGUACGCAGGUGGUUUGUUAAGACAGUUGUGAAAUCCCCGGGCUUAACCUGGGAACUGCAAUUGUGACUGGCAGACUAGCGUGAGGCAGAGGGGGGCGGAAUUCCUGGUGUAGCAGUGAAAUGCGUAGAUAUCAGGAGGAACACCGAUGGCGAAGGCAGCCCCCUGGGCCAUCACUGACACUCAUGCACGAAAGCGUGGGGAGCAAACAGG
Molecule: unclassified non-coding RNA, 253 nt
Filed under: uncultured Gammaproteobacteria bacterium
Lineage: Bacteria; Pseudomonadati; Pseudomonadota; Gammaproteobacteria
Description: contains 16S-23S intergenic spacer region
Rfam family: Bacterial small subunit ribosomal RNA
Source: RNAcentral